GCGAGAGUGGCGGAAUUGGUAGACGCACUGGAUUUAGGUUCCAGCGCCGCAAGGCGUGGGGGUUCGACUCCCUUCUCUCGCA
This 82-nucleotide transfer RNA is filed under the name Rhodocyclus tenuis. It matches the Rfam family "tRNA". Rfam says of the family: Transfer RNA (tRNA) molecules are approximately 80 nucleotides in length. Their secondary structure includes four short double-helical elements and three loops (D, anti-codon, and T loops). Lineage: Bacteria; Pseudomonadati; Pseudomonadota; Betaproteobacteria; Rhodocyclales; Rhodocyclaceae. RNAcentral also lists the same sequence under 2 other names. The record is from Rfam by way of RNAcentral.